This 28-nucleotide non-coding RNA is filed under the name Cricetulus griseus (Chinese hamster). The record is from RNAcentral. Lineage: Eukaryota; Metazoa; Chordata; Mammalia; Rodentia; Cricetidae.
GGGGCUGCAGAGCAAAUUAAGCACAUCC